This 468-nucleotide ribosomal RNA is filed under the name uncultured bacterium. RNAcentral's name for it is "partial 16S ribosomal RNA". It matches the Rfam family "Bacterial small subunit ribosomal RNA", at positions 28 to 507 of the family's 1533-position model. The record is from RNAcentral.
GACGAACGCUGGCGGCGUGCUUAACACAUGCAAGUCGAACGGAAAGGCCCUGCUUUUGUGGGGUGCUCGAGUGGCGAACGGGUGAGUAACACGUGAGUAACCUGCCCUUGACUUUGGGAUAACUUCUGGAAACUGGGGCUAAUACCGGAUAGGAGCUCCUGCUGCAUGGUGGGGGUUGGAAAGUUUCGGCGGUUGGGGAUGGACUCGCGGCUUAUCAGCUUGUUGGUGGGGUAGUGGCUUACCAAGGCUUUGACGGGUAGCCGGCCUGGGAGGGUGACCGGCCACAUUGGGACUGAGAUACGGCCCAGACUCCUACGGGAGGCAGCAGGGGGGAAUAUUGCACAAUGGGCGGAAGCCUGAUGCAGCAACGCCGCGUGCGGGAUGACGGCCUUCGGGUUGUAAACCGCUUUCGCCUGUGACGAAGCGUGAGUGACGGUAAUGGGUAAAGAAGCACCGGCUAACUACGUG